GAUGAACGCUGGCGGCGUGCCUAAUACAUGCAAGUCGAACGAAACUUCUUUAUCACCGAGUGCUUGCACUCACCGAUGAAGAGUUGAGUGGCGAACGGGCGGGUAACACGUGGGCAACCUGCCCAAAAGAGGGGGAUAACACUUGGAAACAGGUGCUAAUACCGCAUAACCAUAGUUACCGCAUGGUAACUAUGUAAAAGGUGGCUAUACUACCGCUUUUGGAUGGGCCCGCGGCGCAUUAGCUAGUUGGUAGGGUAAAGGCUUACCAAGGCAAUGAUGCGUAGCCGAAUUGAGAGGUUGAUCGGCCACAUUGGGACUGAGACACGGCCCAAACUCCUACGGGAGGCAGCAGUAGGGAAUCUUCCACAAUGGGCGAAAGCCUGAUGGAGCAACGCCGCGUGGGUGAAGAAGGUCUUCGGAUCGUAAAACCCUGUUGUUAGAGAAGAAAGUGCGUGAGAGUAACUGUUCACGUUUCGACGGUAUCUAACCAGAAAGCCACGGCUAACUACGUG
Molecule: ribosomal RNA, 512 nt
Filed under: uncultured bacterium
Lineage: Bacteria
Description: partial 16S ribosomal RNA
Rfam family: Bacterial small subunit ribosomal RNA
Source: RNAcentral